UACGGAGGGUGCAAGCGUUAUCCGGAUUCACUGGGUUUAAAGGGUGUGUAGGCGGGCUGUUAAGUCAGUGGUGAAAUCUCCGGGCUCAACCCGGAAACUGCCAUUGAUACUAAUGGUCUUGAAUUUUGUUGAGGUAGGCGGAAUAUGUCAUGUAGCGGUGAAAUGCUUAGAUAUGACAUAGAACACCGAUUGCGAAGGCAGCUUACUAAGCAAAUAUUGACGCUGAGGCACGAAAGCGUGGGGAGCAAACAGG
RNAcentral lists this ribosomal RNA (253 nucleotides) under uncultured bacterium. RNAcentral's name for it is "partial 16S ribosomal RNA". It matches the Rfam family "Bacterial small subunit ribosomal RNA", at positions 524 to 776 of the family's 1533-position model. The record is from RNAcentral.